AGCGAACGCUGGCGGCAGGCCUAACACAUGCAAGUCGAACGGAUCCUUCGGGAUUAGUGGCGGACGGGUGAGUAACACGUGGGAACGUGCCCUUUGGUUCGGAACAACUCAGGGAAACUUGAGCUAAUACCGGAUGUGCCCUUCGGGGGAAAGAUUUAUCGCCAUUGGAGCGGCCCGCGUCUGAUUAGCUAGUUGGUGAGGUAACGGCCCACCAAGGCGACGAUCAGUAGCUGGUCUGAGAGGAUGAUCAGCCACACUGGGACUGAGACACGGCCCAGACUCCUACGGGAGGCAGCAGUGGGGAAUCUUGCGCAAUGGGCGAAAGCCUGACGCAGCCAUGCCGCGUGAAUGAUGAAGGUCUUAGGAUUGUAAAAUUCUUUCAGCGGGAACGAUAAUGACGGUACCCGCAGAAGAAGCUCCGGCUAACUUCGUG
RNAcentral lists this ribosomal RNA (433 nucleotides) under uncultured bacterium. Its description in RNAcentral is "partial 16S ribosomal RNA". It matches the Rfam family "Bacterial small subunit ribosomal RNA", at positions 29 to 507 of the family's 1533-position model. The record is from RNAcentral.